UGGGGCGUCGCCAAGCGGUAAGGCUGCGGGUUUUGGUUCCGCCAUUCGAAGGUUCGAAUCCUUCCGCCCCAG
This 72-nucleotide transfer RNA is filed under the name Spermatozopsis similis. Its description in RNAcentral is "tRNA-Gln". It matches the Rfam family "tRNA". Rfam says of the family: Transfer RNA (tRNA) molecules are approximately 80 nucleotides in length. Their secondary structure includes four short double-helical elements and three loops (D, anti-codon, and T loops). Lineage: Eukaryota; Viridiplantae; Chlorophyta; Chlorophyceae; Chlamydomonadales; Dunaliellaceae. The record is from RNAcentral.